UACGAAGGGGGCGAGCGUUGUUCGGAUUUACUGGGCGUAAAGGGCGCGCAGGCGGCUCAUUUUGUCAGGCGUGAAAGCCCCGGGCUUAACCUGGGAACUGCGUUUGAUACGGAUGGGCUAGAGUUCGGGAGAGGAGAGUGGAAUUCCCAGUGUAGAGGUGAAAUUCGUAGAUAUUGGGAAGAACACCGGUGGCGAAGGCGGCUCUCUGGACAAAUCCUGACACUGAGGCACGAAAGCUAGGGGAGCAAACAGG
This 253-nucleotide ribosomal RNA is filed under the name uncultured bacterium. RNAcentral describes it as "partial 16S ribosomal RNA". It matches the Rfam family "Bacterial small subunit ribosomal RNA", at positions 524 to 776 of the family's 1533-position model. The record is from RNAcentral.